This 279-nucleotide ribosomal RNA is filed under the name uncultured bacterium. RNAcentral's name for it is "partial 16S ribosomal RNA". It matches the Rfam family "Bacterial small subunit ribosomal RNA", at positions 506 to 784 of the family's 1533-position model. The record is from RNAcentral.
UGCCAGCCGCCGCGGUAAUACGGAGGGUGCAAGCGUUAAUCGGAAUUACUGGGCGUAAAGCGCGCGUAGGCGGCUUUGUAAGUCGGAUGUGAAAGCCCUGGGCUUAACCUGGGAAUUGCAUUCGAUACUGCAUGGCUAGAGUAUGGUAGGGGAUAGUGGAAUUCCUGGUGUAGCGGUGAAAUGCGUAGAUAUCAGGAGGAACAUCAGUGGCGAAGGCGGCUAUCUGGACCAAUACUGACGCUGAGGUGCGAAAGCUAGGGUAGCAAACGGGAUUAGAUA